This 253-nucleotide ribosomal RNA is filed under the name uncultured bacterium. RNAcentral describes it as "partial 16S ribosomal RNA". It matches the Rfam family "Bacterial small subunit ribosomal RNA", at positions 524 to 776 of the family's 1533-position model. The record is from RNAcentral.
UACGUAGGGACCAAGCGUUGUUCGGAUUUACUGGGCGUAAAGGGCGCGUAGGCGGCAAUUCAAGUCAUCUGUGAAAUCUCCGGGCUUAACUCGGAACGGUCAGAUGAUACUGCUUUGCUCGAGUGCGGAAGGGGCAAUCGGAAUUCUUGGUGUAGCGGUGAAAUGCGUAGAUAUCAAGAGGAACACCGGUGGCGAAGGCGGCCCACUGGAUCGGUACUGACGCUGAGGUGCGAAAGCGUGGGGAGCAAACAGG